RNAcentral lists this ribosomal RNA (253 nucleotides) under uncultured bacterium. RNAcentral describes it as "partial 16S ribosomal RNA". It matches the Rfam family "Bacterial small subunit ribosomal RNA", at positions 524 to 776 of the family's 1533-position model. The record is from RNAcentral.
UACGUAGGGGGCAAGCGUUGUCCGGAAUUAUUGGGCGUAAAGGGCUCGUAGGCGGUUUGUCGCGUCGGGAGUGAAAACCCAGGGCUUAACCCUGGGCUGGCUUUCGAUACGGGCAGACUAGAGGUAUGCAGGGGAGAACGGAAUUCCUGGUGUAGCGGUGAAAUGCGCAGAUAUCAGGAGGAACACCGGUGGCGAAGGCGGAUCUCUGGGCCAUUACUGACGCUGAGGAGCGAAAGCGUGGGGAGCGAACAGG